Molecule: non-coding RNA, 76 nt
Organism: Myotis davidii
Lineage: Eukaryota; Metazoa; Chordata; Mammalia; Chiroptera; Vespertilionidae
Source: Rfam
GAGACACCCCUAUGGAGCAAGACUUGCUUCAGUGAAACUUUGGUGUUCACUGAAUCUGCCCCUUGUGUGUGUCACU